RNAcentral lists this small nuclear RNA (325 nucleotides) under Erinaceus europaeus (western European hedgehog). RNAcentral describes it as "7SK RNA". It matches the Rfam family "7SK RNA". Rfam says of the family: 7SK was discovered as an abundant small nuclear RNA in the mid-70s but a possible function has only recently been suggested. Two independent studies have found that 7SK RNA binds the CDK9/cyclin T complex (known as elongation factor P-TEFb). Lineage: Eukaryota; Metazoa; Chordata; Mammalia; Eulipotyphla; Erinaceidae. The record is from Rfam by way of RNAcentral.
GGAUGUGAGGGAGAUCUGGUUGCUACAUCUGUCACCCCAUUGAUCACCAGGGUUGAUUAGGCUGAUCUGGCUGACUAGGCAGGUGUCCCCUUUCUCCCUCACUGCUCCAUGUGAGUCCCUCCCGAAGCUGUGUGCUCUGUUGAAAAGGACAGCCUUCACCAAAUAGAGACGACGGGUCUUUGGUCAGAAGAAGCAUGUAGCUUUUCCUCUAGUCUUCUAUCUCUGUUGCUUUCUUUCUGUCUGGAGAGAAAGAGAGAGAGAAGAAGAGAAAGAGAGGUGCUGAGCAUUGAGGCCCAUGUGAUAACAAAAUCAUAAACUUGCCUUU